RNAcentral lists this ribosomal RNA (460 nucleotides) under uncultured bacterium. Its description in RNAcentral is "partial 16S ribosomal RNA". It matches the Rfam family "Bacterial small subunit ribosomal RNA", at positions 338 to 795 of the family's 1533-position model. The record is from RNAcentral.
CCUACGGGGCGCAGCAGUGAGGAAUAUUGGUCAAUGGGCGGAAGCCUGAACCAGCCAAGUAGCGUGCAGGAUGACGGCCCUACGGGUUGUAAACUGCUUUUAUACGGGAAUAACGCGCCUUACGUGUAGGCCUUUGCAUGUACCGUAUGAAUAAGGACCGGCUAAUUCCGUGCCAGCAGCCGCGGUAAUACGGAAGGUCCGGGCGUUAUCCGGAUUUAUUGGGUUUAAAGGGAGCGUAGGCCGCAUGUCAAGCCUGCUGUGAAAUGUCCGGGCUCAACCCGGGCCUUGCAGCGCGAACUGGCGUGCUUGAGUCCGCGGAAAGCAGGCGGAAUUCGUCGUGUAGCGGUGAAAUGCUUAGAUAUGACGAAGAACCCCGAUUGCGAAGGCAGCUUGCUGCAGCGGAACUGACGCUGAUGCUCGAAAGCGCGGGUAUCGAACAGGAUUAGAUACCCGAGUAGUC